This is a long non-coding RNA of Oreochromis aureus, 451 nucleotides long. RefSeq lists it as uncharacterized. The record is from RefSeq and is a predicted model, not a curated record. Lineage: Eukaryota; Metazoa; Chordata; Actinopteri; Cichliformes; Cichlidae. The transcript has 3 exons.
CAGAGAUACGCACAGAGGCGAGCAGGCACUGGGUUACAAUGGCUUAAGAAUGUCCAUACAGCACAGAAAACAGGGCAAGGAGUGCAGCUGCCCUAAGAUAAUGUUUUUCUUUAAUUAAACUAUCUCUGCCACGCAGAAGUGGGGGGAGAAGGCUUCGAAGCAUGCCUGAUCGCCAAUUAAAACAACCUGCCUUUUAGACAAAACAAGAACCUGAUGCCUGGAGUCUCAGUUAUGGAUCAACCAUCAAACCAUCAGAGAUCAUUACAGGCAUAAGGAGAUCAGCCUACUUCAACUUAUAAGAUUAAAAGUUGGAACGUAAUUUUACCUGCAUUAAACAUUGUGCACACUGAGGUCUCACCGCAUUGUGAAAUAACAUGAAUAACCUGCAAAGGCAAUUUUUUAUUAAACCUGUGCCGUACCUGUAUUACACUCAAGAUAAGCUGCACCAGAA